UAGGGAAUCUUCGGCAAUGGGGGCAACCCUGACCGAGCAACGCCGCGUGAGUGAAGAAGGUUUUCGGAUCGUAAAGCUCUGUUGUAAGAGAAGAACGUGUGUGAGAGUGGGAAGUUCACACAGUGACGGUAACUUACCAGAAAGGGACGGCUAACUACGUGCCAG
This 165-nucleotide ribosomal RNA is filed under the name uncultured bacterium. RNAcentral's name for it is "partial 16S rRNA". It matches the Rfam family "Bacterial small subunit ribosomal RNA", at positions 355 to 511 of the family's 1533-position model. The record is from RNAcentral.